UCGACCUACGGGGCGCAGCAGUAGGGAAUUUUCGUCAAUGGGCGCAAGCCUGAACGAGCAAUGCCGCGUGAACGAGGAAGGUCUUCGGAUCGUAAAGUUCUGUCGAAGGGGAAAAAGAGCGGAGAGAGGAAAUGGUCUCCGAUUGAUAUUACCCUUCGAGGAAGUCACGGCUAACUACGUGCCAGCAGCCGCGGUAAUACGUAGGUGGCGAGCGUUAUCUGGGAUGAUUGGGCGUAAGGGGUGCGUAGGCGGCCUGCUAAGUCUGGAGUGA
This 271-nucleotide ribosomal RNA is filed under the name uncultured bacterium. RNAcentral's name for it is "partial 16S ribosomal RNA". It matches the Rfam family "Bacterial small subunit ribosomal RNA", at positions 334 to 597 of the family's 1533-position model. The record is from RNAcentral.